AGAGUUGAUCAUGGCUCAGAACGAACGCUGGCGGCACGCUUAACACAUGCAAGUCGGACGGGGUAUGAGAGCUUGCUCUUAUACUUAGUGGCGGACGGGUGAGUAACACGUGGGAACAUGUCCUGUAGUGGUGGAUAGCUCCGGGAAACUGGAGGUAAUACAGCAUAAGCUCGAGAGAGGAAAGAGAGAUCGCUACAGGGGUGGCCCGCGGCUGAUUAGGUAGUUGGUGGGGUAAAGGCCUACCAAGCCGAGGAUCAGUAGCUGGUCUGAGAGGAUGGACAGCCACACUGAAACUGAGACACGGUUCAGACUCCUACGGGAGGCAGCAGGUGGGGAAUAUUGGACAAGUGGGGGCAACCCUGAUCCAGCGAAUGCCGCGUGAGUGAAGAAGGUCUUAGGAUUGUAAAGCUCUUUUGACAGGGAAGAUGAUGACGGUACCUGUAGAAUAAGCACCGGCUAACUCUGUGCCAGCCGCCGC
RNAcentral lists this ribosomal RNA (478 nucleotides) under uncultured bacterium. Its description in RNAcentral is "bacterial SSU rRNA". It matches the Rfam family "Bacterial small subunit ribosomal RNA", at positions 8 to 518 of the family's 1533-position model. The record is from RNAcentral.